Molecule: ribosomal RNA, 875 nt
Filed under: uncultured archaeon
Lineage: Archaea
Description: bacterial SSU rRNA
Rfam family: Archaeal small subunit ribosomal RNA
Source: RNAcentral
CCUGACUGCUAUCGGAUUGAUACUAAGCCAUGCGAGUCUUUGUAGUAAUACAAGGCAGACGGCUCAGUAACGCGUAGUCAACCUACCCUAUGGACGGGAAUAAUCUCGGGAAACUGAGCAUAAUACCCGGCGUACCACCAUUCCUGGAAUGGUUGGUGGUUAAAAUGAUUCGUCGCCGUAGGAUGGGACUGCGACCUAUCAGCUUGUUGGUGAGGUAAAGGCCCACCAAGGCGAUUACAGGUACGGGCUCUGAGAGGAGAAGCCCGGAGAUGGGUACUGAGACACGGACCCAGGCCCUAUGGGGCGCAGCAGGCGAGAAAACUUUGCAAUGUGCGAAAGCACGACAAGGUUAAUCCGAGUGAUUUCUGCUAAAGGAAUCUUUUGCCAGUUCUAAAAAUACUAGUGAAUAAGGGGUGGGCAAGUUCUGGUGUCAGCCGCCGCGGUAAAACCAGCACCUCAAGUGGUCAGGAGGAUUAUUGGGCCUAAAGCAUCCGUAGCCUGCUCUGUAAGUUUUCGGUUAAAUCUAUAUGCUCAACGUAUAGGCCGCCGAAAAUACUGCAGUGCUAGGAAGUGGGAGAGGUAGACGGUACUUGAUGGGAAGGGGUAAAAUCCUUUGAUCUAUCGAUGACCACCUGUGGCGAAGGCGGUCUACCAGAACACGUUCGACGGUGAGGGAUGAAAGCUGGGGGAGCAAACCGGAUUAGAUACCCGGGUAGUCCCAGCUGUAAACGAUGCAGACUCGAUGAUGCAUUGGCAUAUAGCCAGUGCAGUGUCGCAGGGAAGCCGUUAAGUCUGCCGCCUGGGAAGUACGUACGCAAGUAUGAAACUUAAAGGAAUUGGCGGGGGAGCACCACAAGGGGUGAAGCCUGCGGUUC